GAUGAAGAACGAAGCGAAAUGCGAUAAGUAAUGUGAAUUGCAGAAUUCAGUGAAUCAUCGAAUCUUUGAACGCACAUUGCGCCCCUUGGUAUUCCGGGGGGCAUGCCUCUUCCAGCGUCAUUUCACCCCUCAAGCUCUGCUUGGUUUUGGGCCGCGCCGGCAACGGCGGGCCUCGAAAAUAGUGGCGACGCCAUCGUGCUCUCAGCGUAGUAAUUCUUCUCGCUGUUGGGUCCCGGUGGUCGUCCGCCAGCAACCCCCAACUUUCUUAAGUUUGACCUGGGAUGAGGCAGGGAUACCCGCUGAACUUAAGCAUAUCAAUAAGCGGAGGA
RNAcentral lists this unclassified non-coding RNA (329 nucleotides) under soil metagenome. Its description in RNAcentral is "partial contains 5.8S ribosomal RNA, internal transcribed spacer 2, and large subunit ribosomal RNA". The stretch from base 1 to 120 matches the Rfam family "5.8S ribosomal RNA", at positions 35 to 154 of the family's 154-position model. The record is from RNAcentral.